UGUUACGUUAUGAUAAUCUUAAGAUAAAGUUUAAUUUGGAUUGUUCAUAUAGACACUAUUCUUUAGUUGUCAAAGCUAUUCCUGUAGCUUUGAGAAAUCUAAUUAAAGGUAUAUUACAAUAUUCUUCUGUAAUACCCACACCUCUGGAUUUGUUUAUUGACAAGUAUAAUUUCUUGGAUGAAAAAUUUAAUAACAAGAUUUUGAGAUCACUUAUUACAAAAGAAUAUUUUCCUCUUCCUGUUAAAAGAAAAAAUCUAUCUCCAAGGUUUUCCAAAGUUGACACUAUCAAAGUUAGAACCAGAUACUUGUCAUUUCCUUUGUUGCCUAAAAUGAAAGAACAUUUCAAAACAAUUAACGAUCCAUGUAACAAAUUUCUAAGAAUAAUUUAAUUUGGAUAGCAUGUGUGUAGGCCUACUUUUUGUCAAAAAGAAUCUCAGGAACAUCUUUUUUUAUAAUUGUACGAUUGUUAAGUCCUUUUGGGACAGAUUAUGAGUGGUUGGAGACAAAAAAAAUGUAAUACCUGCCUUUGACUAUCAUAUUGAUAAUUUGGUGUCUUUUUGGACAACAAAGACAUUGAAUUUUCGUGUAAUAAUGUCUUGAUUGUAGCCAAAUUUUACCUACACACAUGUAGAUUUGUUUCUCCAUGUUUUGAGGCAUUUAAAAUGACUUUAAAAUUUUAUUUAAAUCUUUAAAACAACUAAAAAUGAGGAGUGCCUUAAAGCUCUCUAAAUUACUAGCAAUAUAUGGAUUAACCCACCCUGAAAUCUAAUUUACUCUGUUAUAAUUUGCUUUUCAUGUUUUGUUUGUUUGUUUGUUUGUUUGUUUAUGUUAUUAUUAACUUGUUUACAGUAUGCUGCUUGGUCUUAUUGUUAAUGUCUAUCAUUGAUAAUAUGUUAAUGCCUGUUUGUUAUUUGAAAUGAUUUAAUUAAAAAAAAAAGUACUUAUAAAGCAAAAAAAAAAAAAAAAAAACGUAAAACGUAAAACGUCAAACCUCGCUCCUUAUUGGCUGUCACUUGUGAUUCGCGAUUGUUUGCUACUUGCCAGAUUUGAGUUGGCGUGAUUUUUAUUUUUUUUUUUUCCCAAACCAGUUAAGCGCAAACCACGCCCCUUAAGUUAAAACCCCAUCCCGCAGCCUUGACUCACGGCUCUAGCUCGAUUUCAUUGGUCAACUCUGUUACGUUGUCACCUGAGGCGUUAAUGAAUGCUGUUGUUGGAUCGGUCGCUGACAAACGGUAAGAUAAGCCUGCCAAUUGUUUUUCAUUGCAUUUUAUUAUCAUAAGUAUUUGUACUUUUCAAUGUGAGGUUUUUUUAAGAAUUAUUAUUAUAAUUUUCAUUUUUACUCUAAUCUUUAUCUUUAUUUCGAUUGCCCUCAGGGGAGUACGCUUGUUCUGGCAGUGAGGAAGAGCAAGCCUUACAUCUUAAGAACUGGUUACCUCCUGGGUAUAACUGUCACUUCUGCGCCUCGUUCAUGUACUACACACAAUCAAACCUGGACCACACAAGCUUUGAUGCGUCGCUCAGGAUUGCACUGACAGAAAGUUGUGAAGUAAAGGAAUGGGUGAAAAAGCUUAGUGAGUCAUCAGGAGUGAGUUGGAGAGUGGCAGUGACGAAACCAAGUAAGGGACAACAUGUGCUUUAUAAGGCUCAUUAUAGGUGCCAGCACAAUGUUUGUGUCCGAUCAGGCACGGCUAAUCAAAGACGGUUAUCAAAAAAUACAUGCUGUGAGGCAAAAAUGGUUUGCACUCUGGUGAAGACUGUAGACAAAAGGGGAGGAUCUAGUAGGAACAAUGAUCCCCAUAUACCCACCUACCCAACUUCUGUGCAUUUGUACAUAAUCAUAACAUCUUUGUUGCGGAGGCACUGAGACACAGGGAUGUAGGGGCCAAGGCAAUAGAGUCCCUGGCUCAGUUGUUUGAGAACGGGCACAGCCCAACAUCAGCUCUGGCUGUACUUAAAAGUGACCUGCUGGCUGAGCAUGGCAACAAAUAUGUAUAUGCCUCAGCCAACCGUGCCCUUUGCCCAGACCUUCAGUUUUGCUACAGAUACAAGAAGUUCCUGACCACGUGUGACAGACGUUGCACUUGGCCAUUGGGAGGCAAUCCACCGGUCAAGAUUCCUUGCUACAAAAAGUAAUAUUAAAGCAUCUGAUAUUUCUCAGGUAAAGUACGAUUUUUAAAUAUAAAUCGUUAUAAAAUUGGAGAUUCUUUUCUCAUUAUGUGUUUUUAAGCCAUCUUGCAGCCUUGUGUUUUCGUCCUGUCAUCAUCAACCGUCAAAGUUCAACUCCAAUAAGAACGCCAGUACAAAGGAGGCAUGAGUAGCAUCGGAUCUGCAGGCUGAGGAGCAUCGGAUCUGUAGGCUGAGGAGCAUUGGAUCUGCGGGCUAAGGAGAAAUCUUGAUGAUUCGGUCCGAAGUUGUAGCCAGUAUCUUCUGCGUUGAAUGAAGCAAUAUGAAACAACUUAAGCUGUUAAUUUGACUCUUAGUGGGGAAAAAGUUCUUUCUCUCUCUCAUAGAUGAGCACAUGGCUGGAUUGCAGGCCUAGGCCUACAGGCCUUGCAGGUCCACAUGCCUUGGCCUGAAGAGGCCUGCAGCAAAAGGGGGUCUCUUCAGUCGUCCAAGAAGCAAGAAAAAGAGAGUGAGGGGCGUUGUGCACUGGCUUUUAACCUAUGGUCAAAGUCACACCUCUUAGGGUUGACCUGACCAAUGAAGAUGUUGUAUUUCCGGGCGACAACACGCCUCCUGUCAGGGCUUUUACGACCAAGCAAGAUAAACUGGCUGAGUUUUUGAAGAAGAACUAUUAAAGAUUCUUGUAAUACUGAUGUGUUGCACAGGAAUCGACAUAUCGCAUACACAAGCAUUUAAAUCUUCUCGAUACGAACCCAUAGACACUAAACAUGGCAUAAUUGAAGUUACCUUAAAUGUAUCGUAAAACAUGUGAAUACAAUACUGAGUACAAUACAACAAACCGUAUUAAUGGAUACCAUUUCCUGGGGAUAUGCAUGUUAAUUUAUAGAACAGUCUGUCUAUAAAUUAAUGCAGGAAAGUCUGUUUUCUGUAGGAAAGAUGCAGGUUUUCUGUGUGUCUCUUUGUCUCUGCCCUUCUCUGCUCUUCCAUGUGGCAACCAACAUUCUUUAGCGCAAUAAAACUUGUAACUGAGAACUUCUCGGGGGAUGGAGGACAGACCCUAGACUGAGCUUUAAACAAUUAUUGGUUAACUAUAACAAAUAAUUGUGUCUGAUUUGUCUCAGUCGUUACAGUUAUAACAUCUUUGAGGUAAAACAUUACCUAUGCUACUAUGCUAUUACGCAGCGCCUGUGACCCCUGCUUGCACAGGGAGCGUGCCUUGCAACCAUGGAGACAUUUGUGAGAGACGCUGCGUAAUAUCAUUGCGCCUGCUGCAGCCAUGGUACGGCAGCAAAGUUCCUUGAUUAUUACGCCGGAAUGACAGUAUAGUUCCUAGUCAUAUCGGCCUAGAAAAUCGCAACUUUUAAUUUUCCGUCGGUCUUAGUACACGAUGUAGCUACAGAAGAGUCAAGUUUUAAAUAGGAAAAAUAUUGAAACUCUUUGGUCAUUUUUUAACGAGAUGCUAACGGUCUAAUCAGAUUCAAUGAACUAUGCUCAGCUAUGCUAAAAGUGGUACUGCCAGACCCGGAGAUCGGCUGAAUGGAUUCAAAAAUGGUAAAGCUCAACUGUUUAACUCUAGGGGAGUUGGAAAAUUAGCCUAUUUUCGAAAAAAGUGGAGUGUUCCUUUAAAGGUGUUGCCCUUACACACAGCCUUAGAAGUGACCACUAAAACAAAAGCAUUUAAAGACAAUACAGGCAAUUACCCCUGACUGUGUAGAUAAUAGUACCCCAAAUGGUAUAAACAGUAGCUGGUCACGAGAACUAAGACUAUGUAAACAUUCACACAUAGUUUGACUUCCAGUAGGAAGAUCAAAGCAUUCAAAUGCAUAGGUGCUAACCCAAUCAGUCUGACAGUAUAGCCCAUACCUUCACGUUAUCAUAGAGACAAAGGCACAGCUGUGUCUCGAGCUUGUCAUGCCAAAUGGUCAGGAAGUGCAUAAAGACACCUGGGCUGCCUGACUUGAUUUUCUUAGAAAGUCAUCCUUUUUACCUCAAAAUGUUAAAUACAAUGUACUUCACCUUAGUAUUUCAUAUGAUGUUAUGUCAGGACGUAGGAUCAGCAGAUCUUAAACAGAUUCCUAAAUUUAUAAUCCCACAAGUGACAUUGCUGACAAUAGAGGCCUCACUGAGCCAUCGGAUUUCAUCAACAAUAUCUUAAUUUGUGUUCUGAAGAUGAACGAAGGUCUUACAGGUGUAGAACAACAUAAGGGUGAGUAAUUAAUGACAUAAUUUUCAUUUUUGAGUGAACUAACCCUUUAAAAUGUGUUGGGACAGUUAGUUGAGCAACAAGAUCAUUGCAUCUCAAUUCUCACAAAGAAUAGUUGAAUAGUUGUGUCCUUGUGUCCUUCCAAGUUCGUUCUUUAAAGCUAGUCUAAGCAGUCUAGUCUUUGAAUUCUUAGAAUUGAGAAACAUCCAGUAUAUCUGUAUUUUAUGUCUUCAUGUCACUGUUAGGUUGGAGAAAAGAAGUUUCUGGUGAAAUCCUCUACAUCAGGGCACACCUAUAUAGUGGACAUGGAGUUGGAGCUCUGCACAUGUCCUGUUGGCCAUAGUGGAGCACCAUGCAAACACCAGGCAGCCUCCAUCACCUCCAUCAACUUUCUUCCCACAACUGCUGAAAUGAGGGCUGAGCUGCUGAAAAUAACAAAAGGUAAUCAUUUCUUUGCAGCAUUGGUUGUCACACAUGGACUGACACUACCUUCUUUAGAUAUUUGAACAAAUAUGUCCUGUUUAUCAUCUUCACAGCCUCAGUUUCUCUUGACUUCCUGAACCCUUUACGGCAAAAUAUGCCUAAGCCAAGCAUGUUAGCUGUAGGUAAGAAAGUUCAAGUGGGACAUAUAUUAUACAUACUUAAUUCCUAAUAAAAACAACUUGUACAGCAGUGUGACAUUAGUAUACAAUUGUUAUAGACAUGCCUCCGAGGCAAGAAACCUGCAAUACUGAUCAUCAGUACCAUCUCAUAGCUCAAGAUGACGGUCAGUAUAAAGGGAGAGAUGGUGCUGUUUUUUUUUUUUGUUUUUUUGUUUUUUCAAUGUAUUUUUUUUUUUUUUUUUUUUUUUUUUUUUUUAAAUGGUGGCAUAUCUCUUGCUACAUUUCAUUUUGUCUCUGUGUUUAUGAACCCGUAGACUUGCAUCAGCUAGGCCUGUCUUCCCCCAGCUCUCCACAACUGCACCAAAUAUCACCUACUCUAGAGGACUCAUACUCCAAACAACCCUGUGUGCCGAGUAACUCAGAGGAAGCAUCUACACCUCAGUCUCCUGUGAGACGGAUGCUGGGACUGCUCAGUGAACUGGCUGAAAACUCUGACUACAGUGAUGCCAUUACUAUAAUGGCCAAGCAGCUUGAAAAGAUGCAGCACAACCCGACCCAACUGAUCUCUGCAUUUUACUGUUUUGGUAAAGGGAUGUUGGUGUCAAAACGUGCAGCAGCAUUAAGACGAGCUGCUAGACGACCAGGUCAUAUUAUUGGCUGUCAGCCAACAGCAGUGGCCCGAAGAACAAAUAAGACUGGUUCUAGGCGUCAUUUGACAGCUGGACGGCCCAAAAAAAGAAGUUCUGGUCCAGAGCAUGACUACAGCAGAUAUACAGGAAAAGGGGGGAAAAGGGCUGUCAGGGUUCGCCACAAAUUGUCUGAAUCUGUGGCAAUGAACUACUCGCAUCAAACUUAAAAUGGUACCAAUAUUUGUAUGGUGUGAGUGGGUUGGGUGUUUUUAAUUUGUUCGUCCUGAAUGUUUCAAAAUAUCAAUGUCUAUGUCAGAAUGGCGACUCAUUGUUGGCCGGCUCACACGCAUGCGUUGUGCUGUUCACGUGUGCAGCUUUGGCCAAUACUGAGCCUGGCGUUCUGACGUAGAACCUGGAACCGCUGGACGUAAACAGCAUAAGACAAUGACACAGAAGAGAAGAUACUGUUGAAUACAGUCAUUAUUUUUUUGUUUUUGUGCACAAAAAGUAUUCCCAUCGCUUCAUAACAUUAAGGUUGAACCACUGCAGUCAUGUCGACUGUUUUAACGAUUAUAACUGUUUUAAAAUAUCUUAAUUUGUGUUCUGAAGAUGAACGAAGGUCUUGCGGGUUUGGAACGACAUGAGGGAGAGUAAUUAAUGACAUUAUUUUCAUUUUUGGGUGAACUAACCCUUUACUGCAAACAAAGUAUUAUUUAUGAAUUCUAGGUUAGGACUGCAGGUUAUGAAGUUAUAUUAAAAAUCAUAAUUAUAAACUUGUUUACACUAGGAACUGCACAGACAAAAAUGUAAUUUCAUGCAUCCUUUUAAAGUUUUUGAUAGCAUUGUGAAUUGUAUGUAAUAUUGUUUUUGUGUACCAUGGCAUUUUUGCAUUUAUCUGUUUAAUAAAAAAUACCACAGCACUAUGUGG
Ctenopharyngodon idella (grass carp) is the source of this 6486-nucleotide long non-coding RNA. RefSeq lists it as uncharacterized. NCBI's taxonomy places the organism in Eukaryota, Metazoa, Chordata, Actinopteri, Cypriniformes, Xenocyprididae. The record is from RefSeq and is a predicted model, not a curated record. The transcript has 6 exons.